GGGUCAGUAGGUUGGUCGUGCCACCGGUACGUACUGGUCUCACUGAUUCCUCCUUCCUGAAGAACCUUAAUGCCAUUAAUUUGGUGUUGCGGUGAAACAGGACUGUUACUUUGAAAAAAUUAGAGUGUUUAAAGCAAGCUAACGCUUGAAUACAUUAGCAUGGAAUAAUGAAAUAGGACGAUCGAUCCUAUUUUGUUGGUUUCUAGGAUUGACGUA
Molecule: ribosomal RNA, 216 nt
Filed under: Glomeromycotina sp.
Lineage: Eukaryota; Fungi; Glomeromycota
Description: partial small subunit ribosomal RNA
Rfam family: Eukaryotic small subunit ribosomal RNA (bases 40-216)
Source: RNAcentral